RNAcentral lists this ribosomal RNA (374 nucleotides) under uncultured organism. RNAcentral describes it as "partial 16S ribosomal RNA". It matches the Rfam family "Bacterial small subunit ribosomal RNA", at positions 527 to 896 of the family's 1533-position model. The record is from RNAcentral.
GUAGGGGGCGAGCGUUGUCCGGAUUUAUUGGGCGUAAAGGGCUCGUAGGCGGCUUAGCAAGUCGACCGUGAAAACCCAGGGCUCAACCCUGGGACGCCGGUCGAAACUGCUAUGGCUAGGGUCCGGUAGAGGUGAGUGGAAUUCUCGGUGUAGCGGUGAAAUGCGCAGAUAUCGAGAGGAACACCAUUAGCGAAGGCGGCUCACUGGGCCGGUACCGACGCUGAGGAGCGAAAGCGUGGGGAGCAAACAGGAUUAGAUACCCUGGUAGUCCACGCCGUAAACGUUGAACACUAGGUGUGGCGGACUUAUCCACGUCCGCCGUGCCGCAGCUAACGCGUUAAGUGUUCCGCCUGGGGAGUACGGCCGCAAGGCUA